CCUACGGGUGGCAGCAGUGAGGAAUAUUGGUCAAUGGACGAGAGUCUGAACCAGCCAAGUCGCGUGAAGGAUGACUGCCCUGUGGAUUGUAAACUUCUUUUAUCUGGGAAUAAAAUGUUCCACGUGUGGGAUUUUGUAUGUACCCUAUGAAUAAGGAUCGGCUAACUCCGUGCCAGCAGCCGCGGUAAUACGGAGGAUCCGAGCGUUAUCCGGAUUUAUUGGGUUUAAAGGGAGCGUAGGUGGAUUGUUAAGUCAGUUGGGAAAGUUUGGGGCUCAACCGUAAAAUAGCAGUUGAAACUGGCAGUCUCGAGUACAGGAGAGGUGGGCGGAAUGCGUGGUGUAGCGGUGAAAUGCAUAGAUAUCGCGAAGAACUCCGAUUGCGAAGGCAGCACACUGGA
RNAcentral lists this ribosomal RNA (398 nucleotides) under uncultured bacterium. RNAcentral's name for it is "partial 16S ribosomal RNA". It matches the Rfam family "Bacterial small subunit ribosomal RNA", at positions 338 to 733 of the family's 1533-position model. The record is from RNAcentral.